This is a non-coding RNA of Paramuricea clavata, 223 nucleotides long. NCBI's taxonomy places the organism in Eukaryota, Metazoa, Cnidaria, Anthozoa, Malacalcyonacea, Plexauridae. The record is from the annotation of a GenBank genome assembly.
GAAACUUUAAAAGUUAGUAAAAUAGCAUGCGGAAAAAAUAAAUCAAAUGAGAUGGUCUCCAUGAUAUUUGGACAGCUUUCGAACGCGUACUGCAUGACAGAAGAUAUGCAAGCCGCUAUAAAGUAUAGAGAACUUGUAAUAAGAAUGAAGAUGGAUCUGCAUUCAUCAAACCCAUUUCAUGAACAUAUAUCCCUGAAUUUGAUGAUGUUGGCCUUUUAUUCCU